This 29-nucleotide non-coding RNA is filed under the name Mus musculus (house mouse). The record is from RNAcentral. Lineage: Eukaryota; Metazoa; Chordata; Mammalia; Rodentia; Muridae.
UCCAAGUCAUGGAUAGGAUAAAGAUUAGU